Molecule: ribosomal RNA, 811 nt
Filed under: Streptomyces sp.
Lineage: Bacteria; Bacillati; Actinomycetota; Actinomycetes; Kitasatosporales; Streptomycetaceae
Description: bacterial SSU rRNA
Rfam family: Bacterial small subunit ribosomal RNA
Source: RNAcentral
GAUUAGUGGCGAACGGGUGAGUAACACGUGGGCAAUCUGCCCUUCACUCUGGGACAAGCCCUGGAAACGGGGUCUAAUACCGGAUAACACUCUGUCCCGCAUGGGACGGGGUUAAAAGCUCCGGCGGUGAAGGAUGAGCCCGCGGCCUAUCAGCUUGUUGGUGGGGUGAUGGCCUACCAAGGCGACGACGGGUAGCCGGCCUGAGAGGGCGACCGGCCACACUGGGACUGAGACACGGCCCAGACUCCUACGGGAGGCAGCAGUGGGGAAUAUUGCACAAUGGGCGAAAGCCUGAUGCAGCGACGCCGCGUGAGGGAUGACGGCCUUCGGGUUGUAAACCUCUUUCAGCAGGGAAGAAGCGAAAGUGACGGUACCUGCAGAAGAAGCGCCGGCUAACUACGUGCCAGCAGCCGCGGUAAUACGUAGGGCGCAAGCGUUGUCCGGAAUUAUUGGGCGUAAAGAGCUCGUAGGCGGCUUGUCACGUCGGAUGUGAAAGCCCGGGGCUUAACCCCGGGUCUGCAUUCGAUACGGGCUAGCUAGAGUGUGGUAGGGGAGAUCGGAAUUCCUGGUGUAGCGGUGAAAUGCGCAGAUAUCAGGAGGAACACCGGUGGCGAAGGCGGAUCUCUGGGCCAUUACUGACGCUGAGGAGCGAAAGCGUGGGGAGCGAACAGGAUUAGAUACCCUGGUAGUCCACGCCGUAAACGUUGGGAACUAGGUGUUGGCGACAUUCCACGUCGUCGGUGCCGCAGCUAACGCAUUAAGUUCCCCGCCUGGGGAGUACGGCCGCAAGCUAAACUCAAGGAAUUGACGG